This 253-nucleotide ribosomal RNA is filed under the name uncultured bacterium. RNAcentral's name for it is "partial 16S ribosomal RNA". It matches the Rfam family "Bacterial small subunit ribosomal RNA", at positions 524 to 776 of the family's 1533-position model. The record is from RNAcentral.
UACGAAGGGGGCUAGCGUUGCUCGGAAUCACUGGGCGUAAAGGGUGCGUAGGCGGGUCUUUAAGUCAGGGGUGAAAUCCUGGAGCUCAACUCCAGAACUGCCUUUGAUACUGAAGAUCUUGAGUUCGGGAGAGGUGAGUGGAACUGCGAGUGUAGAGGUGAAAUUCGUAGAUAUCGGGAGGAACACCAGUGGCGAAGGCGGCGAUCUGGGCUGAUACUGACGCUGAGGUGCGAAAGCGUGGGGAGCAAACAGG